This 478-nucleotide ribosomal RNA is filed under the name uncultured bacterium. RNAcentral describes it as "partial 16S ribosomal RNA". It matches the Rfam family "Bacterial small subunit ribosomal RNA", at positions 28 to 523 of the family's 1533-position model. The record is from RNAcentral.
GACGAACGCUGGCGGCGUGCUCAACACAUGCAAGUCGAGCGAUGAAGCUUCCUUCGGGAAGUGGAUUAGCGGCGGACGGGUGAGUAACACGUGGGUGACCUGCCUCAAAGUGGGGAAUAGCCUUCCGAAAGGGAGAUUAAUACCGCAUAAUAUGAGAGAAUCGCAUGAUUUUCUUAUCAAAGAUUUAUUGCUUUGAGAUGGACCCGCGGCGCAUUAGCUAGUUGGUAAGGUAACGGCUUACCAAGGCAACGAUGCGUAGCCGACCUGAGAGGGUGAUCGGCCACAUUGGAACUGAGACACGGUCCAGACUCCUACGGGAGGCAGCAGUGGGGAAUAUUGCGCAGUGGGGGAAACCCUGACGCAGCAACGCCGCGUGGGUGAUGAAGGUCUUCGGAUUGUAAAGCCCUGUUUUCUGGGACGAUAAUGACGGUACCAGAGGAGGAAGCCACGGCUAACUACGUGCCAGCAGCCGCAGUAA